UUCUCUCUCUGCAUCUUUCUCGCCAGCGUCCAGCAAUUAGUCGGUGUGUCCGUUGUACGAAGAAUAUAUGUAAACUAUUGCUUUGCAUUGUUCUUCAUCCUCCUUUUUCUUCAUUGGAGAGGUGCAAUUGCGCAUCGGAAAUCGUUCGACUAUGCAUCGUUGAGUGAGAAACAUAUGUUUACUCGCGCGCCAUAUGGGGUUGAAGAAUUUCGAAGAAGUAGGCUAUUCGUGGUUCUUCCUUUUCUAGGUUUUUUUCUUGAUUACAACUCCAAGGCCGAUGUUUAUUGUUUUCUUCAACCUUUUUUUCUAUUAGGGACGUGAUUAUCGUCGUCUCUUUUUCUUUUUCUCGUUGUCUUGAUGGCCUCAACUGCUUUUUUUCUUGAGAUGUUUUCUUUUUCUUUUUUGUUUCCCCUUUGGUUUUGUAUUCGUUCCGAUCUUUUGGCAGAGUAGAGACAGUGGUAAUCUGGUUUAUAUGUGAGGUAGUGAUUUUAUAUCUUCCUACUGGUUGAAGAAUAUCGGAGAAACGGGUUAUUAUUGUUUUUUUCUUUUCUAGGUUUUUCUUGAUUCCAACUUCAAGGUUGAUUAUUUUGUUUUCUUGUACUUUUUCAGUGGGGAUAUGAUUAUCGUUGUCCCGUUUCUUUUUCCGUUGGUUUGAUGGCCUCAAUUCUGGGGCUUACAACGUUGUUUUCCUGAUAUGUUUUCUUCUCCUUUUUCUCCCGUUUGAUUUAUUAUUAUCUCGAUCUUUUUGCAGAAGUUGAGAGAGUAAUAAGCUGGUUUAUAUUUUACGUGCGUGCAUUAAAAUCUCAUGCUUUUAACUUGUCUCGGAAAAGGGAACAUGUUUCUUGGGUCUGGUCUCAUGACCUGGGGUAUAAUUCUCAUAAUUAUUCAAAUUUGCCUUCUGGUUUUAAUCUGCUUCCUCUUCAUCCCAGACUGUUUGAGGAUGUGAAGGGAUUAACGUUCUUCUAGAUUCUUGAACCUCUUUUUUCUCCAGAAGUUGCAACUCAUCAUUGAAAAUUGUACGCAUCAUAGGUUGUAUUACACUCUCCACACUCGUGUCCCUUUAUGUAUGGGUUCAAGAAUCUAGAAGAAGUUAGGCAAUCCUUUUCUCCCCCCCUCUUCUUUUUAGGUUUUUAUUCUAUCCAAUGCUAAGGCUGCUAUGUUUUGUUUUCCUGAUAUUUCCACUUGAAGCUGAUCAGUUUUAUUGUUUGAUGGUCUUAACUGCGAGGUUGAUUUAUGGAAUUCAAUAAAUAUUGAUCUGUUGGGAGAACUUGAAGUAGUGAUACUCAGGUUUCUAUUUCACAUACAUGCAUUACAAUUUCAUGUUUUGUUCUAGUUCUAGGAGAACGGGAAAAAAAUAAUCUUGUAUUUUCUAAUAGAAUCUUUAUACUGCUAAUUUUCUACUAUAUUUUCUCAAUGGUUGUAUAAUUUUUGGACAUGCUUUCAGGGUUCUAAUUGCUGCCUCAUUGAUACCUUAUCAGUUGAGGAUAAAAAGGGAAUUAACAUUCUUUAAACCAUAAAAUCAUUUUCGCUCUAGAAACCGGGGAACAAUCACAAAAUCUCGAGUUUUAUUUGGAACUGUUGAUAUUAUUUGCAUCAUGCUUAAAUUAAAAGUUUGCAUUAUAAAUUUGUUAUCACAAUUGUGCAUCUGUCAGUCAAUUAUGAAUCUAAUCUUCAUGGUUGGGCAUUAUUUUGUCCAUUCAUAUCGCUCUCUGAUUAUUUUCAGUGUCGGGAUAAUCAUUGAUGCAACUGAAAACAUACUCGCGCACAUACUUCUACCCUUAUUUUCCCAACAUCUUUCAUGUUCAAGUGGCCUGCUAUUAUUUUACUAUUAUCGUGAUCUUUUUGCAGAAGUAGAGUGUAGUAAGGUGGUUUGUAUUUUACGUGCGUGCAUUAAAGUCUCAUGCUUUGAACUUGUCUUGGAAAAAGGUACAACAUGGUGCUUGGAUUUUGUCAUGAAACCGGGGUGUAAUUCCUAAUUAUUCAAAUUUGCCUUAGGUUUAAUCUGAUUCCUCUUGAUCCCAAAUUCCCAGUCUGUUUGAGGAUAUGAAGGGAUUAAUGUUCUUCAAGAUUCUUGCACAUCUUAUUUUCUUCAGAAGUUGCAUUUCAUCAUUAAAAAUUGUAUGAAUCAUAGGUCAUAUAACACUUCACUUUUUUUUUUCUUAUGUAUGGGUUCAAGAAUCGAGAAGAAGUUGGUAAUCUGUAUUUCCCCCACUUCUUUUUAAGGUUUCUCUUCUUUCCAAGGUAAAGGGGGCUGUGUUUAGUUUCCUGUUAUCUCCAUUGGGGAGCUGAUCAUUUUUAUUGUUUGAUGUUCAUGUUCUUAACUGUUGGGCUGUUUCUGGAAUUUAAUAAUAUUGAUCUGAUGGGAGAACUUGAAGAGUGAUACUCAGGUUUCUACUUCAUGUACAUGCAUUACAAUUUCAUUUUUUGUGCUAGUUCUUGGAGAAAGGAGUUUUCUUUUUCUUGUAUUUGUAAUAGAAUCUUUAUAUUGUUCAUUUUCUACUAUAUUUUCUCAAUGGUUAUAUAAUUUUUGGACAUUCUUUCAGGGUUCUAAGUGCUGCCUUUGUGAUAAUUUAUCGGUUGAGAAUGAAAAGGGAAUUAACCUUCGUGAAACCAUUUUAUGAUAUCCUGGGAAGAAUCAUAAAUCUCGAUUUCUAUUUGGACCUCUUGGUAUUAUAUGCAUCAUGCUUAAUUAAAAGUUUGUAUUAUAAAUUUAUUAUCACAAUUUCGCUAAUGUCAGUCAAUUAUGAAUCUAAUCUUCGUCGUUGGGCAUUAUUUUGUCCGUUCAUAUUGUUCUCUCAUUAUUUUCAUUUUGUCUGAUAAUCAUUGAUGCAGCUAAAACAUACUGGCGCACAAACUUCUACCCUGAUUUGCUUACAUCUUUCAUUUUCAAAUGGCCUGCCAUUUGUAUUAUUAUUUAAGUACUAACCUUAAAGCAGACUACCAUUCUGGCAUGAAUUUUGACAUCCUAUUGAUGCAACAGUUGCUUCCCAUGUGUUAUGAAUCUCAUCUGAGGUGGAAUUUGCAGAUAUCUGCUAGAUGUUGAAUUGUUAGGAAGAUAUUUUCAUAAGUCAGGCUACAUUGAUCGAAGUUGUUUCUAGUCGUAGCAAUGAGUAAGAUGAUUGGUUAAGUUGCUAAUCUCGUUGUUCACAUUCCUAUAAGCCAUGAAGUUGAUUUUUUUGUUCUCUUAUAUUGUUUUCUCAUACACCACCGCUCUCUUUACAUGUGCAUUCCAUAUGCACUCUCAGAUUCUCCGUCUUGUUUUCUUUUCAAUAUUUAUUAAUAUGCGGCUCUAUCAAGUUUAUAUGAUUUUCUAGACCCAGAAAUUGGAUCAAUUAUCACAAGCACGUGCAUUUGAACUUGUUCUCGAGUUGCUAUGUUGAAUAUUUUCCUUUGGUCUGUAACUCUAUUACUAGCUUAUACAUAUAGUUUCUGAUGUCGUAAUGUUUAAAAUAAGUAUCACAAUACCAUAUAAAGUUGCAUUAUUGUUAUGCCUAUUCACAAGAAUAGUAGUAGGCAGAGCUUGCAAGUUGGUGUGAUAAACCCAUGAGUAUAAAUUGAGAAGUCGGACCUUGGUAUGCCUGCAUAUGAAUGCAUUGAACUCAUCGAAGCAUGAUGGCUAGGUCUCAGGUUUUUCUCCAAGUUGGAUUAUGAGAGGACAUGUUGCCUUAAUAGAUCACAAUAACCAGACCUUGUUACAUUGUUUUAGUCUUGGGUUCACAAUGUGUCAUUAUAAAGUAGGAAUACGGCUAUCCAAACCAUGUCUAGUGAAGUGGUCAAAUCAAAGGAUUUCAUGGUGGUGAUUCCUUAAGGGGGAAUAUUUGGGGCACCGGCACACCCUGAUGUUACAACUAGUACAAUUUUAGUGUGUGUAGUUAUAUCUGAGUUUAUAUGUGGAGCAUCAACUGAUGCUUUGAGAGCCCUGGGGAAGAACUCACAAGAGUAUAUGCCAUAUGCAUAAACUGAAUGGAUCAACAGCCUGACUGUAUUUUGUCUCAAAGGGAUGUUAUUUGCUGCUCACCAUAAUCUUCUGACUGAUACCUGUAGUAGUUUUUGUGUUUGUUCAAGUAUUAAAUGAGACAUGUGAUUUGAGAAACUAAUUCUUUUUGUUCGGGUAUCCUAUUUAUUCGUUUAACUGCUUUUGACUAGAGAUUGUUGAGAGACAACAUAAGCAAGACAUUAUCUAUAUGGUAAAGAGUGGGAAAACGUGCUGAAUGGAGUUCAGUUCUAACAUCAUGGUUUAUUGCGUUUACAGCCCCAAUGAAAAAUGUGGCUGGCAUGUGAAGUCAUGAGUUUAUAGCCCCUCCUUGAAUUCAUUUCUGUUUUUAGACACGAGGACAGGAGAAUCAUCAUGGACUACCUAUACAGUUUGGAAGAAUCCUUCUAUUCGAAAUCUGAUGGCGGUGAUGCUGUAUGCACAUUCAUCCUGUCACUCUACCAUAACAUUUCUGGUCAGUUGAAACCUGGUGGUUUGAGCUUUGGGCUCAGCUGAUGCAGAACAGGUGAACAUAUUUUCUGGCUGCCAGCAGCUCUCAAUGCAGUUGAAGCCUGUUUCAAGAGUCAAUUAUGAUGUUUGAACUGAUCAGAGAGAAAAGCUCACAUAUUUGAAUUGAUCUAUCAAAUAUGGUCAUCUUAAAAUAGGAUUACCCCAGCUUCAUCAGAUCUGGCGUGUCACUUUUCUCAUUUUGUGGCUGGCUGAGCUCAAGGUUUAUAGACUCAUUUCCAGCUGAUUUUCCAGAUUUUGGAGGUCUUUGAUGCUCAAUCCAGAAAGUUCUUCUCCCAAAAGCUGCCUGCAGGUAUCAGAAAAAGGCAUGUUGAGGUGGCGCUAUUUAGAGAGGUGUGCCUAGUGAAUUUAGAAAGACUAACACCAUUUCCACCAAGUAAGCUGCAUGGGCCUGAUCAGAAGGGUGUUGAAAUCCCAACAGUUGAUUUUUUUUCCCCAGCAAUUUGCAGGAACUGGAAGCUAUUACCUUGCUAAUCCGUUUCUGUAUCCUGGACCUAACUAGGCAUGUUUAGGAAUAAUUGAUUGCAAGACCUACAUAGAGAACCAAUUUUGUGAAUGUUAACUCAACUGAUUUGAAGAAGGGACAUCUGGAAGAGAUAAGCUCCAACAUAUCCAAUAAAACCCUGCAGAAUUGAGUAAAAAGGAUCUUGUGAGUUAUUCUUGAGGGUAUUUGUACACAGCUUAUUGCAGUAGAGUUCUAAUACAUGGGGAGAAGAUCUCCUUUUGAAAUGUCGAAAUUCAUUGCAAGAACUGGACUUUUCUGAAGACAAAGAUAGAUGGACAGCAAGAUCCUGGAUGUUUUACGUUGCAUUGUGUUGGAUUUCCCUAAACUUUGUCUGUUCAAGUUUUAGUGGGAUCCAGGUAUCUGGAAUGCACUUAUUGCGAAUAUGGAAGGCCAACAUUGGAUGGUGGACAGCAUGAUUUUAGUGUCUGACCCGCUGAAGGCAGAACCAAUUCUCUGACAAAAUGCUUGUCUAGGCACCAGAUCUCAACUGUAAUUGAUACGUGAAGUGACGUAAGAUUCCUCUACUAUCUCUUUCUUCACUUUGAAGAUGCCUGAGCUUUCAUCACUGAAUUGGUAGAGCAUAGGGAUAAAAUGCUACUUAUAAGUUAUAAGUGUUGAUCUGUGCAACUAUUCGUAUACCUUGAACAGGGACCAAAUAUCGUUCACUUCAUGUUGUUUAGAAUAAUAUCUUUCAUAAUUAUUUAGAGAAUAAGCAUAUUUGCUCAAUGCUCAAGGCUCUGUCUGUUGAUAUAAGCUGGAAGAAUCAAAUUUUUAUGGGCACACUUGCAAGUCCUCUGUAUGAUUAUUGCUCCUCUAUCUUACUUUCUGCCUCUUAAUCAAGUAUUUGAUUGAAUGGAUGAAGUUGCCACAACAUCGGACCAUUGAGGUUGUCAAUCUUUAGAUUCAUUCUUUGCUUCAAUUCUGAAUAAGUUGUAUUUUUCAACAGUAAAUUUGUAAACCUGUUGCUGAAUCAAUUGUAAGAAGAUAUUGUGGGACUUGCAUUAGUUGUAGGGUUGUGAGUCUCUCCGACUCGUUCACAUGCAUUUGAGCCUAUUGGUCAACCUUCAAGGUGGUGUCCAUUUGGGUACAAGUCCAGGUCGAUGAACAUGGAUUAGACGGAGAUGUCAUAUAUUUCGUUAUGGAACUUGUAAUGCGCAACCCUGCAUUGAUGGUAGGAAGAUUAUAGCCUUGGGUUGCUCCUAGUUAUCAAUUGGUUUGGGCAUCUGAUGUCACCUGGUUAGUUUCCUAUGAUGUUGGCUUCCUUACACUUGCAUCACGUACUUUCGACUGCAUGUCAGUUCCUACCCUCAAACACAGGUUUUGGCAUUUUAGAACACCUGGUUAGUAUUGAAUGAUGUUAGCUAAGCCAAGAGUUUGAUCCUGCUAAGGACACUUGUAUCACAUACUCUUAACUGCAUGCCCAUUCCUAUCCUGAAACGCUAUUCUGGAUUCCUUUGAACUUUCUGAUUUCUGGUUUUGGAAUAAGUUCCAUGUUUAUUUCGGAUUGUAUAUUACACAAAAGCACCUUUGAGGUGCUGUCCAUGUAGGUGAUCCUGGAGUUGUGGGACAGGUCAAUGAACCUGGAUUAGAUGGGAUGGAACAUAAUGUACUUCUUUAGUGGAGUUCGUAAAGCUCGAUCCUGCACUGAUUGUGGGAGGAUUAAAGCCUUGACUUACUCCUAUUUAUGAGUUGGUUUUCGCCUGGUUAGUUCUCAGCGAUGGUGGCUAAGCCUUGAGUUUGAUCCUGUUCCUUACACUUGCAUGGCAUGGCAUACUCAACUGCAUGUCCGUUCCAAUCCUCAAACAUGGAGGAGUUGAAGAGUACUGUGGAUUCUUUUGAACUUUCUGAUACUAUUUCUUGGGUUUGGGAAGAAUUUCAAGUUUAUUUUGGAUUGUAAUACACAAGUGCAUGCUUACUAGUUUCUUCAUUUUCUAUACCUCCACAUUGGUUGAAUCCAAGUUCUGCGGGAGGGAACAACAUAAGUAGAUUAAGCAACAAUUGUGAUAUACUUAUUUCCUUCCAAUUCAGCGAGCCUCUAAUAAAAUUUUCUCCUUAUUGGAUCUAUUGUUUAACAUAGCAUUACAGAUCUAAUAGAUUUAGAGCCUGUGGUAUAUAGUCGCUGCAUCACUAAUUCAUUGUGCAUGUAUAUGACCUUCAUAGUAAAUUGAUGAGAUAUACAAGUCCCAGAGAUGAUAAAUCUCAAGAUAAUUCCAUGUUAUAUUAUGGUUUUUGCUUUCAGAUCCUCAACUCCAUCUGUUCGUUGUUCUGAUCACAAAACCUUAUUCUAGACAUGUAAGAGGACCUAACUUUACACUGAUUCUAAAUCACUGAAAAGAACUUCACUUCUACGAACAAUUUAUGGUGCUCAAUCAUACAUGGUGUGUAAGGGUUAGAUGUCCUGGGGAAUGACUGCAUUGAGUAAGUUUUGCGAUUAAUCUUCCUGAUACCCUGCUGAAAAGUGGAAGCUAGUUCAUGUCGUUUGAGUUCUUUGCAAUUGAUGCUCAAUUUUUACCCUAAGUUUCCAUCAACUAUGUCAAUUAUUCUUGUAUAACAGAUUAUACAACCAUGUUUUAUCUAAUAUCUGGCAUAGACUUCUGUGUAAGUUAUGUCUGGAAAACACAUUAUAGGAGGUAAGUAUGUUAAGCAAAAAUUGAAUUAUUAUGUCUUCGAAAAAUGGUAACUUUGUUUUCUCCAUUUGACCGUCUCUUUAUCUCAUGGUACUGGAGGAAGGGACCGGGAAGUCCACCACAAAAAAAUUGACGCUUGUUCUGAAAACAUUAAAUUGAUGAAUAGAUAGUCUCCAUUCUUUUGUUUUUGGUUAUCUUGAUAACCUCAUCUGAGAUCUUUGUCUUUGUUGUGAUUGGGUUGCUAUGGUCAUCUUUUCUUCCCUUUUGUGUCUCACUUUUCGUAAUGGCGGCAAAGCCCUUAUUAUCUUAAUUAUCUUUCAGAUGUGUGAGUAUGAUACUCUUUUCUUAUGAAAUAAUCAUUUUAAGAAGUUGAAAAUUCUUCUUGUGAGUUGAAAUCAAUUCCCUAGUGCGUCAAGGGAACAUGUCCUUUUCCAUUAUCUGCUUAUUGAGUCUCUUUUUUAAUCUUUGGAACAUGUCCGAUUUUGGCCGAUUUAUCAUGACUCAACCAUUUUGCUCUAUCCACUUAUCAGCCUGAAAUAUAGCCAAUUUUCUCCACUGAGUUGCACUUUUCUAUGCUCUCUUCGAGCUGUGAUCCUCUUACCUAAGUUUUGCUUGGACUCGGAAGAAGACAACAUGAUGAGCUUCUGGAGUUAUGCUCGUGUAAAAUGGAACAUGAUGAGCUUCUUCCCGUACCUUUUGUAGAGGUCUUCGUGUUCUAUUGUGGUUGGAGAUGCUAGGUAUUCCUCCUUCACUUGUGGGUAUGUUUGCACUGUUCAACUUAUGAUGUUCAAGUCCUAUUACUGGUAAGAGAAACGAACUAUCUUUUAACGGAAUUAUGUGAAAUUUGCAGUUCCAGCAGAAGCUUCGAAUAAUGCUCUUAUGUUUUGGAUUACGGCCAUUCUUCUGCAAAAGGCAAUAGGAGGCGUUAGCUUUGCCUGAUGCAAAUAGUGCAAAAUAUUGUCCGAAAAUUUCACAUCUUCAUGCCCACCUUCACUUAAAGUAGUUCUUGUGCAAUACUGUAUCAUAAAUUCUUCAUUGCACAUUUUGCAUAGGACUGCUGCUGUCCUGUGCUGCUAUAUGGAGAUUGCCCCUUGCCAAUUUUGUCAAAUCUUAUGGUCAUCUUCUUCAUGUGCUGAAAAAGUAUGCGGCUGGAGUAAAUUUCGAGCAUGAACUAAUAAAGUUAAAAACUAUACUCAAUUGUCUAAUUGAAACUUGGCAGGGCAUUACUGCGGUUUAAUCGUGGUCAACGUACCUUUGUAUUUUUGAAGUUACAACUGCCUGUUUCUCGAAACUCACAUGAGUUUCUAUGUGAAAUUCCAACAUAUAUUCCUUUGAGCAUUAGUUUUAAUCGUGGGGAAUGGUAUAGUUCCUUUACCUAAAGAACCAUGGAGAAGCAAAUUGUAUUUUGGUAGAGUUUUGUCUACAUUGUUACUUAUCUUUAUUGUAGCUUUGCUAAAUGUUUGGAGAUCGAUUGCUCAGAAUCCAAGUCUUGGGUGCUCAACUGUUUUAAGGUGAUUGUUUCUAUGGGAUGAAAACCCCAUGAACCAGGAAAGUCUUUUUGUACAGUAACUAUUAUCAUGAUAUUCAUGGUGGACUACUCUGUCAGAAAUAUACAAAUUCAAGUCUAUUUAACAGAGUAAGUUGCUGCCAUUUCCCUGGAAAGCCAGGCAACUAGCUUUUUAUAAUGCACAUUUGGUGUUGUUCAUAAAGUGUUGGUCUUUCUGCAAUAUGUGAAUUCAAGAGCACAAUUUGCCUGGCAAAGCCAAAUAGCUCUUGUUUCAACAAGCAAGAAAUUCAAAUUCUUUGAUUGUAUUGUAAGUAUUGAUCACUUUUGAUCUUAUGAUGCCUAAUUCAGAAAUAUAUGAUAUUUGAGGAGAUCAGCUAAAGGAGAUCAGCUAAAGGAGAUCAACUUAUUUGACCCUUUAGGUUCAGGGCCCAAGUUUCCAAGAAACUGCUUGAGCAAGACUCCAGAAUAUUUAUGGAGUCCUUAUCAGAGUAGGGUGCAGCAGAUGGUAAUGCUCCUCUUUCAGUUUGUUGUAUCGAUCAAUCACAGAUUUCAUGCUGAAGAAAAGGGGGAAGAGUAACAAUUAUCCAUCACUGUGCCUAAACAGAUGCAGAACUCUCAUUGCAGAUACAGCUUUUACAUGGCUGCAUUAUUUUUGAACAGCUAAAGCUGUAUUAUAUCAGAUCAUGCCAACAUGUAAUAACAUGGUAUAUAAAGUGAAGUAGGAAGAUUAUGUAUUUUGAUGUAAUCCUAGGAUAUCGUUGCAUUGUAUAAAUGGUAGCUCUAGUAAUUUCGUUAAUAUGUUUCGAGACUGACA
This is a non-coding RNA of Sesamum indicum (sesame), 9954 nucleotides long. The record is from RefSeq and is a predicted model, not a curated record. Lineage: Eukaryota; Viridiplantae; Streptophyta; Magnoliopsida; Lamiales; Pedaliaceae.